Molecule: transfer RNA, 68 nt
Filed under: Ictidomys tridecemlineatus (thirteen-lined ground squirrel)
Lineage: Eukaryota; Metazoa; Chordata; Mammalia; Rodentia; Sciuridae
Description: Spermophilus tridecemlineatus (thirteen-lined ground squirrel) tRNA
Rfam family: tRNA
About the family: Transfer RNA (tRNA) molecules are approximately 80 nucleotides in length. Their secondary structure includes four short double-helical elements and three loops (D, anti-codon, and T loops).
Source: Rfam by way of RNAcentral
GGAGCUGUAGCUUAGUGGUAGAGCACCUGCCUUGUAUGUGUGAGGCCUGGGUUCAAUCCUCAGCACCA